GAUGAACGCUGGCGGCGUGCCUAAUACAUGCCAGUCGAGCGAACGGACGAGAAGCUUGCUUCUCUGAUGUUAGCGGCGGACGGGUGAGUAACACGUGGAUAACCUACCUAUAAGACUGGGAUAACUUCGGGAAACCGGAGCUAAUACCGGAUAAUAUUUUGAACCGCAUGGUUCAAAAGUGAAAGACGGUCUUGCUGUCACUUAUAGAUGGAUCCGCGCUGCAUUAGCUAGUUGGUAAGGUAACGGCUUACCAAGGCAACGAUGCAUAGCCGACCUGAGAGGGUGAUCGGCCACACGGUAACUGAGACACGGUCCAGACUCCUACGGGAGGCAGCAGUAGGGAAUCUUCCGCAAUGGGCGAAAGCCUGACGGAGCAACGCCGCGUGAGUGAUGAAGGUCUUCGGAUCGUAAAACUCUGUUAUUAGGGAAGAACAUAUGUGUAAGUAACUGUGCACAUCUUGACGGUACCUAAUCAGAAAGCCACGGCUAACUACGUG
RNAcentral lists this ribosomal RNA (497 nucleotides) under uncultured bacterium. RNAcentral describes it as "partial 16S ribosomal RNA". It matches the Rfam family "Bacterial small subunit ribosomal RNA", at positions 28 to 507 of the family's 1533-position model. The record is from RNAcentral.